Molecule: ribosomal RNA, 563 nt
Filed under: uncultured bacterium
Lineage: Bacteria
Description: partial 16S ribosomal RNA
Rfam family: Bacterial small subunit ribosomal RNA
Source: RNAcentral
UGGGGAAUAUUGGCACAAUGGGCGCAAGCCUGAUGCAGCAACGCCGCGUGAGGGAUGACGGCCUUCGGGUUGUAAACCUCUUUUAGUAGGGAAGAAGCGAAAGUGACGGUACCUGCAGAAAAAGCACCGGCUAACUACGUGCCAGCAGCCGCGGUAAUACGUAGGGUGCGAGCGUUGUCCGGAAUUAUUGGGCGUAAAGAGCUCGUAGGCGGUCUGUCGCGUCUGCUGUGAAAACCCGAGGCUCAACCUCGGGCCUGCAGUGGGUACGGGCAGACUAGAGUGCGGUAGGGGAGAAUGGAAUUCCUGGUGUAGCGGUGGAAUGCGCAGAUAUCAGGAGGAACACCGAUGGCGAAGGCAGUUCUCUGGGCCGUAACUGACACUGAGGAGCGAAAGCGUGGGGAGCGAACAGGAUUAGAUACCCUGGUAGUCCACGCCGUAAACGUUGGGCGCUAGAUGUGGGGACCAUUCCACGGUUUCCGUGUCGCAGCUAACGCAUUAAGCGCCCCGCCUGGGGAGUACGGCCGCAAGGCUAAAACUCAAAGGAAUUGACGGGGUCAUAGCUG